Molecule: long non-coding RNA, 1873 nt
Organism: Bubalus bubalis (water buffalo)
Lineage: Eukaryota; Metazoa; Chordata; Mammalia; Artiodactyla; Bovidae
Exons: 2
Source: RefSeq, a predicted model, not a curated record
GAUUAAGUUUGGACUUAAUGAUCUCAUCCAAACUACUGUAGUGAUUAUCCCUCGAUGGUGUGCUACUUUAAUAGCCUUAAAUCUCAAAAUUGUGCAAGGGUCUUCCUUCCCCAUGUACACAGCUCAAUGCUCCUGGAAAUUUAAAGAUCUCCAGCUAUGGAAGAAAUUGAGAGGGAAUAAGAGAAACCGCCGUCCAACACCUAAACCCUGACAUCCCAUCAUCACAGCGCAGAAGCCGGGAAGGCUCCAUCUCCCGAAACAUUCUGGAGUUGAGAGAGGGGAAAGAGUUUUCGAGAUGGUUGUGAAGGGGUGUGUGUAUGUGUACCAGAUACUUUUGUAUCUAAAGACUCCACCUCAAUUUUGGUGAUUCUGACCCCGUAAAACUCAAAACAAAUAAUGCUCACAGGGGAGAAAAGUUUAAAAAGUUCACUGCUCUCAGGUUGAAACAUCACAUGAGAAACAAACGCUCCCAAUAAGCUGAUUCCGUUCCCUGAGAAUGGAGUAAACCUAUAAAUGAUAACAUCUUGUGUGUGUGGAGGUGGGGGGAAACCCAGGAAUAAAAAGAAAAGUGAAAGAGAAGAAACAGAGAAGGAAAGCGGGGAGGUGGCAAAGAUGGAAUAGGGCGAUCCUUCGGCCUACAAGGGGAUUAAGGACAUCUCUAAGGCUUAAGGAGCAACAAAUUAAUUUACACAAUCCUGGGAGAGCCCAGAUGGCCUUUAAUUAAUCCCUUCAAAAGAAGGAGCUAGGCCAGGGCUGCGCCGGCUGCCUGCUCCAUUAGCUCCAUUUUACAAGAGACCAGACUCUGUUCGAGGUGAGGCGUCGUGAGCUCGUGGGGGAAGGGGGGCUAGGGUGACGAGAGCAGGCGAGGGGGAGGCGAGGGAAGAAUAUGAACUGCUCUUCCAUAAAAGGGCUGGGUUUUCAUUAUUCUUCUCUUUAAAAAGUAAUACCCUUUUCGUCUCUACUCCCCCCCUCCCCUUUCCCAUUUUAUUUAACACAAUUAAUUGAGGCGUCCACUGGCCCAGAGACCGAACGGCACCACUCGCCAGGCCCCGCCCCCUUGCCCCGCCCACCGGCGGGAUAGAAGUGGGAGGGGGCGGGAAUCAGGCGGGCGCGGUCCUACGGCUCGCCCUCUUCAGCCAAUCAGAAGGCGCGGCGCUUCCGAGUGGGAGUGACCCGGAGGCGACGCGAGGCCCCAGGCAGAGCGCUAUUGGAGACGGUGGUUACGCCCCCGGCUUGCACCCCACCCUCCCCGCUCCUCGGGCCCGCCCUUCCCGGCUGCCUCGGAGUGACGUCCUUCAAAGUUCUCAUUUUGGACCCCCCAUCUGCCCCUCCCUCUCGUCCCCCAGCUAAAGAGGGGUAGGGAGUGAUGCAAAUGUUUUAUUACCUUUGAGAGCUUCAUCUGAACUGUCAGGCCCGGAGGGAGCAAGGAGAGGAGAGAGAGAGUACCCCGUGGCGCACAGGGGAAGACGGGUCGGCGCGCCGAGUCUGGGAGCCGCGGAGAUCGGUGGCACUGCCCUUUCUGGCGCCGAAGCCUCGGGCAGAGCAGGCGGAGGAAGCCCACCCAGAGGCCAACCCUCCGGCGGGUUAGAUGCGCUCUCUCCCUGCGCGCUCCGCGCGCCGAGUGCGAAAUCAACCUCGUGGCCGAAAGAGCAGGGCAUCCAAGUAAGACUGGAGCUCGUCGAGCGGAACCCGGCAUCCUUUGAACCUCCCCGAAGAAAGCGAGCCGGCCCCCCAACCCCCAACUCUCCCCACAUCAAAGAUUCGGUGAUUCUUAACUUUGUUACGAGCUCUCUGGGGCCGGACGGGGUUUGGUUUUGCUUAUUUCCAAGAGGGAGAAGAUGAGAAGUUGCGCUCUUUGAGCGGCGAGGAAAAA